Molecule: ribosomal RNA, 468 nt
Filed under: uncultured bacterium
Lineage: Bacteria
Description: partial 16S ribosomal RNA
Rfam family: Bacterial small subunit ribosomal RNA
Source: RNAcentral
GACGAACGCUGGCGGCGUGCUUAACACAUGCAAGUCGAACGGAAAGGCCCUGCUUUUGUGGGGUGCUCGAGUGGCGAACGGGUGAGUAACACGUGAGUAACCUGCCCUUGACUUUGGGAUAACUUCAGGAAACUGGGGCGAAUACCGGACAGGAGCUCCUGCUGCAUGGUGGGGGUUGGAAAGUUUCGGCGGUCGGGGAUGGACUCGCGGGUGAUCAGCUGGUUGGUGGGGGAGUGGCUUACCAAGGCUUUGACGGGUCGCCGGCCUGUGAGGGUGACCAGCCACCUGGGUCCUGCGGGAGGGCCCAGACGCCUACGGUCGGCAGCGGUGGAGAGUCUUGCGGAGUGGGGCCACGCCUGUGGAGGAAGCGCCGCGUUCGUGAUGACGUGCUGCGGGUGGUAAACCGGUUUCGCAGGUGAUGAAGGUUGAGUGACGGUAAUGGGUAAAGAAGCACCGGCUAACUACGUG